AUGACUGUACUUCCAGGAAUAAUAUAUAUAGUUCAUUACUAGAGAAGUACCUCUAACUGUGUAGAGUACUGGAAACCAUGAGCAUAAAGCAGAAUGUUCUCUUCUGAGCAUGAGGCUGGAUCUUAGUGUUGCUUUGCUGCAAAUUCCACUUGCCUUUGAUGAUAUUCUUCCUCUCCUUAGACAUAAUCAAAGGGAGAGAACGCAGUCUGAGUGGC
Jaculus jaculus (lesser Egyptian jerboa) is the source of this 215-nucleotide small nucleolar RNA. Its record names the gene U3. It matches the Rfam family "Small nucleolar RNA U3". Rfam says of the family: Small nucleolar RNAs (snoRNAs) are involved in the processing and modification of rRNA in the nucleolus. The record is from Ensembl. Lineage: Eukaryota; Metazoa; Chordata; Mammalia; Rodentia; Dipodidae.